UACGAAGGGGGCUAGCGUUGCUCGGAUUGACUGGGCGUAAAGGGCGCGUAGGCGGUUCGUACAGUCAGACGUGAAAUCCCUCGGCUUAACCGGGGAACUGCGUCUGAUACUGGAUGGCUUGAGAUUGGGAGAGGGAUGCGGAAUUCCAGGUGUAGCGGUGAAAUGCGUAGAUAUCUGGAGGAACACCGGUGGCGAAGGCGGCAUCCUGGACCAACACUGACGCUGAGUGAGCGAAAGCCAGGGGAGCAAACGGG
This 254-nucleotide ribosomal RNA is filed under the name uncultured bacterium. RNAcentral describes it as "partial 16S ribosomal RNA". It matches the Rfam family "Bacterial small subunit ribosomal RNA", at positions 524 to 776 of the family's 1533-position model. The record is from RNAcentral.